This 256-nucleotide unclassified non-coding RNA is filed under the name Hevea brasiliensis (rubber tree). Lineage: Eukaryota; Viridiplantae; Streptophyta; Magnoliopsida; Malpighiales; Euphorbiaceae. The record is from RNAcentral.
AUGAAGAGGAAGGUUGCUGAGCUUGCGGGGUGCAUAUUGAAGAUGAGGGAGGAUCAUAGGGUUUGCAUGCUAAGUCGAAAGAUUGAGGAUCUUCAAGGACAAAUAUAUGGGCUGGAGAAGAGGAACAAAGAGUAUUAUGAUCAGCUUGUGAAGCAUGAAGAAGAGAAGACACGUAGGUCUAAAUCAAUGAAGGUUAAAGGAGAAGCUAACAUGAAAUAUUGCUUUAAAGUUCCUGAAGACGUCGUUGCUGGUAUUA